This is a non-coding RNA of Ictidomys tridecemlineatus (thirteen-lined ground squirrel), 5892 nucleotides long. NCBI's taxonomy places the organism in Eukaryota, Metazoa, Chordata, Mammalia, Rodentia, Sciuridae. The record is from RefSeq and is a predicted model, not a curated record.
AGGAGGUUGAAGAAACGGCUCCUUUCUGAAUGACAGGACCCCUUUUCAAAGGGCAAACGGGGAGGGGGGAACUCCUAAUAUGAAUAGGAGAAUUUUCAGUGUUUCCCAGCUACUUCCCCUCCCCCUUGUAGAUAUUUUCCUUUCUUUUUUUUUCUCAUUUUUUCCUUUUCUUUUCUUUCAUCUGCCCCCCCCUUUUCUUUCCUUUUUGGUUAGAUUUGAAGUGCGUGCGCAAGCAUGUGUUGAUGUGUUUUCAAGAGAGUGAUCCCUUAACUUCCAAAAAAUCAUUUUGGGGUUGGAAAAAUUAUUGAAUCAUAUUAACGUGUUUUGUGGACUCACUGAUCAGAGUGGAUAAGGCAACGGAGAAUCAAGCUUUCAGAUAAGAAUCUUUAAAGAUGGUAUGCUUACAGAGGAAAGGAAGUGAAUAUCUUAGAAAGUUCUCCCUCUUACCAAUAAAACCCAUCACAUUUUUACCUCUUACUAGAAAAGAUACAGUGUCCUCAUUUCCUCAUUCAAAAGUUUCUAGAUUAAUAUUAAGUGCCUCUCUGAGAAAACAAGAGGGGUGAGCUUGUCUCACAUAGGUGUGUGUGUGUGUGUGUGUGUGUGUGUGUGUUUUAAGCCUGCUUUCAUAUAAUUUAACCUUAGAAACACUUUUAUCAUCUCCAUUCUCGACCUUUUUUUUUUUUUUAAUUGAAGGAUCAUGCCUUAGGAGAAAACCUUCUUGUAGAACAGAUGUAAACCCACAGUACCAGUUGUUUGUUGUUGUUGUUGUUGUUAUCAUGAUUAUGAUGGAUAUUAUGUCAUCCCCUCCUUUUUGCACUUGAUCUGAUGAGAGAACUUUUUUUUAAAGAGUGUGAAAUGAAGGACACAAAGACAAUAUAUCAAUGAAAAGAAGAAAGUGGCCCUUUUAAUGGGAGCUAAAGAAAACCCAAAUGUAGAUGAAGUGUACCGUAAAAGCUGCUUCAAAGUCUAUCUUAAUUCCCUUGGGCUCAGUCUUCAUGAACAUGUGGUAAUUGGGGGUUCUGCAGGGAGGUAAGGCAGCCACCGGGUGAGGAGUUACACAGCGAUGCCCUGUCGUGUAGUUCCAGAUAACAUUUUAACUGAGAACUUGGAGAUGCUACAGAACCCAGAUUUAGCUACCCAUCCCCAACACUUCCUGCCCAUUAAUUUUUCCCAUUCCUUGGUCACUUUGCUUACUAGGGGAACUCAUCCUGUGUCCCACCUCACCAGCCCGCAACUCAGCAGGUCGGUAUAUGCUGGGCCAUAUUCUAAGGUUUUUACUAUUAUUUUGUGAUCAACUCUGGUUAAUUUUUUAUUUAUUUUUAGACCUCAGUCCUUUUGGAUCACAGAAGUCCCCACAAGUAACACAGCAAUAAAUCUGAACAAAAAUAAGACAGAUUUCCUCAUCGAUGUGUAAUAAAGUUAAAGGACAUUGUUUUGUCAGACAAGCGCUAAGUAGAAAAUAAAUCUCAGAGUCUGGGGAAACAAAACGGAGCGCUGCUGGCAUGUGUGUAAAUUUACUUUUAAAAGCAAUAAAUCAAUGUUAAAUUAAACAGCUGGGUACCCUGUCUAGGAGAAGAUUCCAUGUUAAAGAAGACCUUGAUGGGAGAAAUGAGCUACUUAACAAGACUCACAUAUACAUCCAAAGUUAGAUUUUUAUUGCAAUUCAGAAGCAAGAAUAACCUGGAAACUUUUCCUCUGAACUUUAGACAGGAAGAGGGCAAGGAGAGGAAGUUAGAAUUUUAUCUACUGUCCAUCCUGAGGUUUUUGUACUUGUUUUCAGGCACAUGGAGAGAAGAUUUUAUAGAAAUGUUUUAGAUGUUUUCUAAAUUGUCAGUUAAGAUCCAGAGUCCUUUAUUUAUUGACUAAGGUUUGUUGGGUGGGUUGUGAUUUUCGUUGAUUUUUUUUUCUGUAAAUACUAUAACCUGUGCAGAUGCUUUAAUGAGCUUAUUGAGUGUAUUCUUAUCUGAUGGUUCUUUUAUUCGUCAUGUGGUUGUUUUGGACAGUAAAUAACAUAGUAAAAAAAAUAAAGAGAAAUGUUAUUUCAUAUCUAUUAUAAAUAUUCUCAUUGAGAAACAAACCUGAGAUUGAGCAGCAUUUAAAGCUAAUUGAAAUAUUUUAAUAUUUUAUUUUUAAAGUUUUUUUAACAUAGUUCUUUACAGGAAAAAAUUGUAGUAGAUGAGGGCAGAGGAGGGAGAGAGAACAAUAGAAAACCCAAGCGCUGGCUCUGUUCUAAAAACAAUGUGAAUCAAUGAGCUAUUACAGAGGCAAUAUUCAAUAGCAGGAAAAUAGGAGUAAUUUAAGAUUAACACAUACAUACAAUGCAUUUUUCCAGCUUUAAAAUGAAAUUCCAGUAAGAUUAAUAGUUCUUUAGAAAGCAGAAAUAUUAUUGAGAUCAACUUUCUUAUUCUUUUGAAUUCAGAUUGACUGAUUUAAAAGAAAAAUGUGGGGCACUUGCCUAUACAGAAAGCAGAUUAUUCUUUACUUUCUUCAUAUCGAAACCCAGAAGCUUUAUUUUGUAGUUAUAUUGUUAACCCACUUCCAAAGAAUAUUCAUUUAAUUAGGUAACAUCAUUAAAACUUUAAAAAUGGAAAAAGUGUUGUUUAGCCCUUUGAGCUAUAAACUAACAGGGGUAUUUGGCAGCAUCCUAACUACCUUUGACUUUCUUUCAGCCAAAAGAAAUAUCAAAGACUAGGUUGCCUGGAGAAGAAUAAAGUUAUACUGUUUAUAUUUAGGAGACAGCUUUCAGUUUCCAUGACCAUUCAUGGCUUGUUAAGUAAAUCUCUGUCUUAUGCCACUCAGAGAUAGCUCAGAGUGCCUGUCGGGAGCAGUCUGGGCAGCCUUAUAAACUCAGAAUGACUUCUCAACCUCUGCUAGGUUUUCCCGGCAAUGCGCUUUCCUCUGCGCUGAAGCCCUGGGAGCUGUAUCAGCCCAAGAUUCAAUUUUGAGGAAUUUUCACCUAGAGGAAUCCAAGACCUUCAGUUCCAACAGCAUUUCUGGUCAGGUAGUGUCAUACAAACUGAAAUGGAGAUACAAUCCUGAUAGAAGAUUACACAAGAUACCUAGCACACUGACAAAUGGUUGAUCUGCAUACUUCAAUAAAGUCUACAAUAUCAGAAGUUGUUAAAUUUGAAGGUGUAGCCAGGCAUGGUGAUUCAUGUCUGUAAUCCAGACUGGUUGGCUGGACAUGAAAAUAAACGAUCACUUAAACUUUAAACAGGAAGAAAAAAGAAAUAGCUGGGAAAGAAAUGAUUAAAUGUAGAAGUCUGAAGAAAGAAAUGUUAUAUAGUAAAUCUUGUUGUUUAAAUGGAAAGAACUAGUUAGUAUUUUGAUACAUUAGUAAAUACUGGCUAUGAUGUUAGUAACUGAGGAAAAGCUGAGUGAGUCCUGAUCAAUACCAAUUUAUCUAUUUCCUUCCACAGGUGAGUCUAAGUUAUGUUGAGAAUUAUCUCCAAAUUAUAGGAGAGUAUUUUCUAUUGAUAAAGUAUUGUAUCUUUAUCAGUCUUCUACACAACAAUCAAAAAAUUCCAAUUUCCUUCCUAUAUCUGGCUUGAGUACAGAAAUGUUCCUUAUUUUAAAAAUGAUGGGACAGAGAACAAUAUGAAUUUAAGGGUUAAAUACAUUUUGGCAGUAGUCUUGAAAAAAGAGUGAUAGAAAUGUUGCUGUAUGCAACAUUCUAUUCUAAUGCAUACAAAAUAUUUCUUAAUAUAAUGAGGAAAAACAAUCAAGGAUAAUGGUCAAGGAACGCCUAAAAACCAAUAACCACACAAUUAGUCCAGAACUAAACUGUGCUUAAAUAGGAAGAAAAGAGAAUUUUAAAGCUCCAUAUUUAUACUUAAAGUAUGACUUAUAAACAUGAUUUGGGCAUUGUCAAUUUGUUAUUUUAAAAAUAAGUUAGAAAAUUGUAAUAUAGCAAGUCAAUUUGAUUUGACUCAAUCAUAUCUCCAGAAGUUUAAAAGUUGACCAUGGAUAUUAUCCUUAGUCUGUUUCAUUUCUACUUGGUCUAUUUUUAAUGUUAGCCACUGCAGAAAUCAAAGCAAUUCACACCAAACCAAAUCAAAACUCUUUUUGCUCAAUAUGCAGGAAACACAGUUAUUAUUAGCUAAUGAAAUGAAGUGCAAUUUUUUUCCAAUAUCAUUUGCUCAAAGAAAGGUUUCAAAAUUAAUAGAAUAUCUUUUAUUUUCUUCUAUUUCCAUUAAGUUUUCCUACUUUAUGAUAUGCAAAAUAUAUAUGUAUAUAUAUGUCUUGUAGAAUCUACAUUUCAAGUGUGAGGAAAUUUUAAAUGAAAUAAUUUAAAAUGGAAUGUUUUUAAGCAGUACUGCUCGCUGACAUUGAUGGUUUUGUUUGGGAUACAGAAUAUAAAACCAUUUCCUCAAGAUAUUUUGUGUUCAACAUAAAAUAUUUAAAAUGUCUCAUUUCCAAGAGAUCUGGUGGGAGUUCAUGACAGAUGUGUUAUUUCUUUUUCAUUUUCUUUUUUAACAGCAUUAUUGUGUCUAAUUAGCACUGAUGAUUUACCCAUGGCAGCAUGAACUUCUUGAGAGGAAAGGAAAGUAGAUCAGUUUCUUUGGAGAAAAAAAACAAACUGGGAUAAGAUGAAAAAAAGGAAUUUAAAAAUGUAUUUUCCAGCAAAUGCCUACAAACAGCCCAUAGAGAGUUCACUUGUUUAUGCAUCACAUAUGAUCAAUCCUAUUGCCUUUGGUCUCAAACAGAGAAAGCCUCAGUACAAAGCAUUCUCCAGGUGUUAGUUUAGGUUUGUCAUUAUUUCCUAUUCAUAGACUCUGUCUAGUAAAAGAAGACAAAUUACUGUAAGUGGGGGUAAAUGUGAUUAAAUGAGUCCUCUGAAGAUAAGAGGGUACAUGGACAAGGGUCAUUAACACAAGUGACCUUUUUUUGCCCAGACCAUAUUUUUAUUUAGAGGAAUUGAAAACACUGCAAAGCAGGAAUAAUUUCUACCACACAUAACAAAAGACAAAUGUAUCUCCUUCAUUUCAAGAAACAUCUUCAUGCCUUUGUAGUAUUUUAAUAAUAUACAGAUACUGCCAAAAUAUUCCCAGAAUACACCAAGAACAAUAUUGGAGAAAUUCUUUAUCCUGAGGAGUCUAAUCAGAAACAAGAGACAAGAUUAUCCUCAGACUAGUGAGGAAGCCUAGAAUGUAAGUUAGUGGACAGCAAGAUCACAAUCAAAUGAAAACUUUAAAUUUAUAAAGUUUCAAUUAAAACAUCUACACUCUUUCUUUCACCUGAUUGUAGCCCAUAUGGCAAGGUCAGCCCUUUCAGUGAACAAACAGCUCAGUCGCCUCCAGUGUAGCUGUUAUCUUCCUCAACAAGGGGAGACAUUUGGCACAGCCUAAAGCUGGGGCAUGAACCCUGGCUAAGCUUAAGACAUUUAUCUGACAGCAUCAGCUGACACUCCACAAACACAUUUGCUCUCCAUGACCUCAGAGCAUUCGUGAUUAAUCAAAAAUGUAUCUUGGAUCUUGAGAACAAGCUACAACCAGGCAUACACAAAAAAGAAUAUGCUCUCGAUCUUGCUUAUCGACUCAAGAGGUAUAUUGAAUUUAGAAAUAGCAAAUAGAAUAAAAUGAUCAAUAUUUUCUCACUUGUCUAUGGAAGAGCAAACUUUAUCCCUCAGGCAAAAGACAUUGAUCAUGUAAAUGUUUCAGAACUGCUUUCAAACUAAAGAAUGCAAAAUGCACAUGGUGUAUUGGGGGUGGGGAAGGAGGCCUGUCAAACAGCAGCUUUUGCUUUAAGUAAAAAAAAGUAUGGCUUAAAGACAUAAAGUAUUAUAUUUGUAAUAUGUUGUACAUUUAGUAAAUUGUAUGUUCAACCUAGAACCUUUUUUAAAUAACAUGUUGCCAAAUAAUCUUAAUAAAACAUUAUGAAGGAAACUUUAAA